GCGGAGGAAAAGAAACCAACAGGGAUUGCCCCAGUAACGGCGAGUGAAGCGGCAACAGCUCAAAUUUGAAAUCUGGUCCCCCCGCGGGGCCCGAGUUGUAAUUUGAAGAGGAUGCUUCUGGCAAGGUGCCGUCCGAGUUCCCUGGAACGGGACGCCGCAGAGGGUGAGAGCCCCGUACGGUCGGACGCCGAGCCUCUGUGAAGCUCCUUCGACGAGUCGAGUAGUUUGGGAAUGCUGCUCAAAAUGGGAGGUAAACCCCUUCUAAAGCUAAAUACCGGCCAGAGACCGAUAGCGCACAAGUAGAGUGAUCGAAAGAUGAAAAGCACUUUGAAAAGAGAGUUAAAAAGCACGUGAAAUUGUUGAAAGGGAAGCGCUUGCGACCAGACUCGCGCCCGUCGGAUCAGCCGUCGCUCGUCGGCGGCGCACUCCGGCGGGCUCGGGCCAGCAUCAGUUCGCCUCGGGGGGAGAAAGGCGGCGGGAAUGUGGCUCCACGGAGUGUUAUAGCCCACCGCGUAAUACCCCCGGGCGGACUGAGGACCGCGCGUAGC
Molecule: small RNA, 548 nt
Filed under: Microascus cirrosus
Lineage: Eukaryota; Fungi; Ascomycota; Sordariomycetes; Microascales; Microascaceae
Description: eukaryotic LSU rRNA
Rfam family: Eukaryotic large subunit ribosomal RNA
Source: RNAcentral